GGCAAGGUGGCCGAGCGGUCUAAGGCGCCACGUUAAGGAUCUUCCCUUAAUCCACACUUGGAUACUUCUCUUGAGGAAAGCAAACAAGUUCCGUGGUCUCGAAAGGGGCGUGAGUUCGAAUCUCACCCUUGUCA
Transfer RNA from Podospora anserina, 134 nucleotides. It matches the Rfam family "tRNA". From Rfam's summary of the family: Transfer RNA (tRNA) molecules are approximately 80 nucleotides in length. Their secondary structure includes four short double-helical elements and three loops (D, anti-codon, and T loops). Lineage: Eukaryota; Fungi; Ascomycota; Sordariomycetes; Sordariales; Podosporaceae. The record is from Rfam.